UACGUAGGUGGCAAGCGUUACUCGGAAUCACUAGGCGUAAAGCGCAGGUAGGCGGUUUGAUAAGUCUGUUGUGAAAGCUCCCGGCUCAACUGGGAGAGGCCAACGGAAACUGUCAGGCUUGAGUGUGGUAGAGGAAACUGGAAUUCCUGGUGUAGCGGUGAAAUGCGUAGAUAUCAGGAGGAACACCUAUGGCGAAGGCGGCUCACUGGCCCGGUACUGACGCUGAUAAGCGAAAGCGUGGGGAGCAAACAGG
This 253-nucleotide ribosomal RNA is filed under the name uncultured bacterium. RNAcentral's name for it is "partial 16S ribosomal RNA". It matches the Rfam family "Bacterial small subunit ribosomal RNA", at positions 524 to 776 of the family's 1533-position model. The record is from RNAcentral.